Molecule: non-coding RNA, 119 nt
Organism: Arabis alpina (gray rockcress)
Lineage: Eukaryota; Viridiplantae; Streptophyta; Magnoliopsida; Brassicales; Brassicaceae
Source: Rfam
GGGUGCGAUCAUACCAGCACUAAUGCACCGGAUCCCAUUAAAACUGCGCAGUUAAGUGUGCUUGGACGAGAGUAGUACUAGGAUGGGUGACCUCCUCGGAAGUCCUCGUGUUGCACCCC